AACGAACGCUGGCGGCGUGCUUAACACAUGCAAGUCGAGUGCGUAGUUCCCGUAGCAAUACGGGGACGGGCGCACGGCGCACGGGUGCGUAACACGUGGGCAAUCUGCCCUCCGAUGGGGAAUAACCCCGCGAAAGCGGGGCUAAUUCCGCAUAACAUUCCUUGGACUUCGGUUCGGGGACUCAAAGCAGUGAUGCGUCGGAGGAGGAGCCCGCGCCCGAUUAGCUAGUUGGUAGGGUAACGGCCUACCAAGGCGAUGAUCGGUAGCUGGUCUGAGAGGAUGAUCAGCCACACUGGAACUGAGACACGGUCCAGACUCCUACGGGAGGCAGCAGUGGGGAAUCUUGCACAAUGGGCGAAAGCCUGAUGCAGCAACGCCGCGUGGGGGAUGAAGCUUUUCGGAGUGUAAACCCCUUUCGACCGGGACGAAUGCCCGCAAGGGACUGACGGUACCGGUAUAAGAAGCCCCGGCUAACUACGUGCCAGCAGCCGCGGUAAGACGUAGGGGGCCAGCGUUGUUCGGAAUUACUGGGUGUAAAGGGUUCGUAGGCGGUGCGGCAAGUUGGGAGUGAAAUCUCUGGGCUUAACUCAGAGGCUGCUUCCAAAACUGCUGUGCUUGAGUGUGGGAGAGGCGCGUGGAAUUGCAGGUGUAGCGGUGAAAUGCGUAGAUAUCUGCAGGAACACCCGUGGCGAAAGCGGCGCGCUGGACCACAACUGACGCUGAGGAACGAAAGCUAGGGGAGCAAACAGGAUUAGAUACCCUGGUAGUCCUAGCCCUAAACGAUCAGGACUUGGGGUGCCGCCCGUUCGGGCGUCGUCCCGGAGCUAACGCGUUAAGUCCUGCACCUGGGGAGUACGGCCGCAAGACUGAAACUCAAAGGAAUUGACGGGGGCCCGCACAAGCGGUGGAACAUGUGGUUCAAUUCGACGCUACGCGAGGAACCUUACCUGGGCUCGAAAUGCUUAUGACCAGCUGUAGAA
RNAcentral lists this ribosomal RNA (980 nucleotides) under uncultured bacterium. RNAcentral describes it as "bacterial SSU rRNA". It matches the Rfam family "Bacterial small subunit ribosomal RNA", at positions 28 to 1005 of the family's 1533-position model. The record is from RNAcentral.